Molecule: ribosomal RNA, 540 nt
Filed under: uncultured bacterium
Lineage: Bacteria
Description: bacterial SSU rRNA
Rfam family: Bacterial small subunit ribosomal RNA
Source: RNAcentral
GAGGAAUAUUGGUCAAUGGGCGUGAGCCUGAACCAGCCAAGUAGCGUGCAGGAUGACGGCCCUAUGGGUUGUAAACUGCUUUUAUACGGGGAUAAAAGGGUGAACGUGUUCUCCUUUGCAGGUACCGUAUGAAUAAGGACCGGCUAAUUCCGUGCCAGCAGCCGCGGUAAUACGGAAGGUCCUGGCGUUAUCCGGAUUUAUUGGGUUUAAAGGGAGCGCAGGCUGCACUUUAAGCGUGUUGUGAAAUGUACCGGCUCAACCGGUAAUGUGCAGCGCGAACUGGGGUGCUUGAGUACGAAGAGGGAAGGCGGAACUCGUGGUGUAGCGGUGAAAUGCUUAGAUAUCACGAGGAACUCCGAUCGCGAAGGCAGCUUUCCGUUUCGGAACUGACGCUGAGGCUCGAAAGUGCGGGUAUCGAACAGGAUUAGAUACCCUGGUAGUCCGCACGGUAAACGUUGGAUGCUCGCUGUUGGAUAUUUUUAUUCAGUGGCUAAGUGAAAACGUUAAGCAUCCCACCUGGGGAGUACGCCGGCAACGGUG